Molecule: long non-coding RNA, 1359 nt
Organism: Perca fluviatilis (European perch)
Lineage: Eukaryota; Metazoa; Chordata; Actinopteri; Perciformes; Percidae
Exons: 2
Source: RefSeq, a predicted model, not a curated record
ACCAGAGAAUUGAGAGCUGGUGGGGAGUGAUGAGAAAAGAAGGAAUCGAACAAUGGAUCACGCUUCUAGGAGAACUGAAGGAUGAGGGUUUUUUCUCUGGGGAUUUUCUGGACAAAGCUUUAACACAGUACUGCUUCAUGCCAGUCAUUCAGGAGGUAUUAAAUGAUAUAAGGGAUGUUUGGAAUGCUCACCGUAUACGGCCCUCCAAGAACACUAACGUGCCCAGUGGGAUACCUGAUGUCAUGUACAUGGCCCCUCACCUUUGGGGGACAGAAGAUUUUCUUGUUCCACUUACUGAAGAUUUGACCACAUGUAAAGACAGCUGCACAUUUUUAAGUUCAGUCCCAUGUGAUGCGGACGUGUUUGAUUUGUGCACAACAACAAUGGAGGAAUCAGGCUUGGAGUACCCAUCUACCAUGUCCCAGUCACUUGAUUUAUAUGUUCAGCUGAGGGACUCGAUUCGUCCACAGUUAUUUGAGCUGGCAGCUUAGUCAAGAAAUAUCUUGUUUUUCUUGUGCCUUUGUUGGAAACAAAAUAAUCAGAAAAGACCUUAUACCAUACUGUUUUAGCAAUCUGUCAAUAGUUGAACUCAUCCUGAUAGCUAUUGUUAGCUAGAAUUAUAAUCCUUCAUGCUGAUCCAUAUUGGUAUUAUCUUGUCAAACUGUAAACACUACAACUGCUACAAUACUUAUGUUCAUAUCAUUUAAAGCUAUGUUUGUUAUGUGUUUUUGGUAUUCUGCUUUAGAGUUAAGUAAAAAAAAAAAUCAACAUAAACAGACUUCUUACCGGCAUCAGCUAGUGUGUGAUUAAAACUGUCUGCAAAUGCUAACAGAAAAAAAUGUAUUCAUCUCUAACAAGGACAGUAGCACCCUGGACAGCAACCCCACAGACUGGUAAUGACAACACAAAUAUAUUGUUAUGAUCAAUUAAACAAGAAGACCUAUGUACAUGCAUUAUGAUGUUCUUUCUCCGCAGCGCUGUGGAAAUAGGUCUGGCAAUGCAAGACUAAUGUUUAAAUAAUGGUGGACAAGAAUAAAACUGAAUAAUUAAACCAAAACAAUCCCACGGUGGAUAAAUUGUGUCCUCUAACAAAUCACAGCAUGUAUAAAACAAUGUUGUAAGAAAAGCGUGCAGAUGUAUAGAAUGUAACAGAGAUGACAUCAAACUUUUGUACAAACUUGAAAAGUUUAUUGACCUUUUUUAAAAUACACUAUAACUGAAAGCAACACAUGUAUUUUGUAUGUACACUAACACGAAUAAUAACAGGAUAGGAACUGUGUUCCAAGCCUCCUGUUAGCCAGGUUCAUAGUUACAAAAUAAUGUUACUUGAAAUAAAGUGUAAACAACUUGUGUAAACAA